UACAGAGGUCCCAAGCGUUGUUCGGAUUCAUUGGGCGUAAAGGGUGCGUAGGCGGCGCGGGAAGUCGGGUGUGAAAUCUCGGAGCUUAACUCCGAAACUGCAUUCGAUACUGCCGUGCUUGAGGACUGGAGAGGAGACUGGAAUUUACGGUGUAGCGGUGAAAUGCGCAGAUAUCAGGAGGAACACCGAUGGCGAAGGCAGGAUCUC
This 207-nucleotide ribosomal RNA is filed under the name uncultured bacterium. Its description in RNAcentral is "partial 16S ribosomal RNA". It matches the Rfam family "Bacterial small subunit ribosomal RNA", at positions 524 to 729 of the family's 1533-position model. The record is from RNAcentral.